GUGAAUUAUGGGAGUUGUAGUGAGGGUCUGAUAGUGGGUGCAGGUGAAUUAUGGGAGUUGUAGUGAGGUUCUGAUAGUGAGUGCAGGGGAAUUAUGGGAGUUGUAGUGAGGGUCUGAUAGUGGGUGCAGGUGAAUUAUGGGAGUUGUAGUGAGGGUCUGAUAGUGAGUGCUGGGGAAUUAUGGGAGUUGUAGUGAGGGUCAGAUAGUGGGUGCAGGUGAAUUAUGGGAGUUGGAGUGAGGUUCUGAUAGUGAGUGCAGGGGAAUUAUGGGAGUUGUAGUGAGGGUCUGAUAGUGGGUGCAGGUGAAUUAUGGGAGUUGUAGUGAGGGUCUGAUAGUGGGUGCAGGGGAAUUAUGGGAGUUGUAGUGAGGGUCUGAUAGUGAGUGUAGGUGAAUUAUGGGAGUUGUAGUGAGGGUCUGAUAGUGGGUGCAGGUGAAUUAUGGGAGUUGUAGUGAGGGUCUGAUAGUGGGUGCAGGUGAAUUAUGGGAGUUGUAGUGAGGGUCUGAUAGUGGGUGCAGGUGAAUUAUGGGAGUUGUAGUGAGGGUCUGAUAGUGGGUGCAGGUGAAUUAUGGGAGUUGUAGUGAGGGUCUGAUAGUGGGUGCAGGUGAAUUAUGGGAGUUGUAGUGAGGGCUGAUAGUGGGUGUAGGUGAAUUAUAGGAGUUGGAGUGAGGGAUGAUAGUGGGUGCAGGUGAAUUAUGGGAGUUGAAGUUCGGUCCACAGUGU
Molecule: long non-coding RNA, 721 nt
Organism: Astyanax mexicanus (Mexican tetra)
Lineage: Eukaryota; Metazoa; Chordata; Actinopteri; Characiformes; Acestrorhamphidae
Exons: 8
Source: RefSeq, a predicted model, not a curated record